UCUGUCUUAGUGGCGGACGGGUGAGUAACGCGUGGGCAACCUGCCCUGUACCGGGGGAUAAACACUUAGAAAUAGGUGCUAAUACCGCAUAAUAGGGAAUACCGCAUGGUAAUCCUUUGAAAACUCCGGUGGUACAGGAUGGGCCCGCGUCUGAUUAGCCAGUUGGCGGGGUAACGGCCCACCAAAGCGACGAUCAGCAGCCGGCCUGAGAGGGUGGACGGCCACACUGGGACUGAGACACGGCCCAGACUCCUACGGAAGGCAGCAG
RNAcentral lists this ribosomal RNA (268 nucleotides) under uncultured bacterium. RNAcentral's name for it is "partial 16S ribosomal RNA". It matches the Rfam family "Bacterial small subunit ribosomal RNA", at positions 86 to 354 of the family's 1533-position model. The record is from RNAcentral.